Molecule: ribosomal RNA, 253 nt
Filed under: uncultured bacterium
Lineage: Bacteria
Description: partial 16S ribosomal RNA
Rfam family: Bacterial small subunit ribosomal RNA
Source: RNAcentral
UACGUAGGGGGCAAGCGUUGUCCGGAAUCAUUGGGCGUAAAGAGCGUGUAGGCGGUUCGGUAAGUCGGCUGUGAAAGUCCAGGGCUCAACCCUGGGAUGCCGGUCGAUACUGCCGGGCUAGAGUCCGGAAGAGGCGAGUGGAAUUCCUGGUGUAGCGGUGGAAUGCGCAGAUAUCAGGAGGAACACCAAUAGCGAAGGCAGCUCGCUGGGACGGUACUGACGCUAAGGCGCGAAAGCGUGGGGAGCAAACAGG